GUUAACAGUUACAUAUAAUGAUUGCUGAAACAAAAUGAUGCUACACAGAAAAUAACAGCAAUUCUCCACCACAAACUUAGACACAACACAAGGCUGGGGUCCUUAGCAGUCGGUUAGCAUGCAGUGUUUCACCAUCACCACCAGAGGGACCCUGCUGAGUUUAUUGUUCUCCCUGCUGUGCUAUUCUGCUCCCACUUUUCACAUCCAGUCUAGCACUGCAAACCAGCACCUGAGCUCCUCUUCACCUCUGCACUGCAGCCAUGGACGCCACAGAAACAGUGUUUCCAGACCAAAGCGACUUUGAAUAUGUUCCGGCUCGUCUGGUACUCAAAUCCCAAAGACAGAAGUACCUCCUCCAACUGUAUAGGCAUUACAGCACAAAGCUUGAAAAAAACAGAAGCCCAUGCUAGCAAAUAGAUACAAGUAGAUCGGCUGUGUUGGUGGCCACUCCUCUCAUGGAUAACAUACCUCUGCUGGGUGAUCGAUAAACAGGGUUUUCUUAUACAACCUGACCUCAUCCCAUAUUAUUUGGCAA
Molecule: long non-coding RNA, 535 nt
Organism: Oreochromis aureus
Lineage: Eukaryota; Metazoa; Chordata; Actinopteri; Cichliformes; Cichlidae
Exons: 5
Source: RefSeq, a predicted model, not a curated record